This 314-nucleotide small RNA is filed under the name Histoplasma capsulatum. Its description in RNAcentral is "hypothetical RNA". The record is from RNAcentral. Lineage: Eukaryota; Fungi; Ascomycota; Eurotiomycetes; Onygenales; Ajellomycetaceae. RNAcentral also lists the same sequence under 1 other name.
CUGCUGACAACUUCAGCUAUUGCAAUCAUCCCGUUGUGUUGAGUUUCCAACUGUUGAUUAUACUCACGAUCUACAUAUUGAGCCACAGCAAGAAUGUUUGCAAAUUAUACGUUGAAUAAUUCAGAGCCUGCAUAACUAAUUUAGUGGCGACAUACGGGCUUACCAGCUAGGAUUUUUCAGCCCUGGCGACAAAGUUUGUAGCCACCCGUUGUGAAUGAUAUCGACGGCACAAAUUGUGGCCGUGAUUAGCGCCGGCUCAGCACGACCGAAGCUUAGCUUGUGUGCAUUCCUCCCAAGUCACAAUAAACACCACA